Urocitellus parryii (Arctic ground squirrel) is the source of this 3092-nucleotide non-coding RNA. The record is from RefSeq and is a predicted model, not a curated record. NCBI's taxonomy places the organism in Eukaryota, Metazoa, Chordata, Mammalia, Rodentia, Sciuridae.
CCUGCUGAUGCGGACCUGGCUUGGCCUCCGGGGUGAAAGCGGCGUGCUACCGAACCGCGUCUGCCUUGUUCACUGCGGUGGACCGUGGACGCAGCGAAUCGCACACAUCCCGAGAACGCCACAAAUAGCUAACGAAUGAUGUGUGGAUGAGAACCCAGAUUUAACAGGCGCUCAGCUUGUGCCGGGCUUUGUUCUAAGCUCCUAGCGAGUGAAGAAAUGAGUGCACAUUAAGUGCCGCAAUGUAGGCCUGGUCCAGGUCGCCCUACAUAUGCUUACGUACCUUAUGUAUACGGAGGGCUAGGAACUGGAAUGAAGAGGCAGGUCACCAUCUGAGACACAGAAAUCCGCAGAGACCUGGAAGAUAAAGAGACUGCAUAUUGGCUGCACCGUGAGUCAGCACCAGCAUGGGAGACACUCAGGCAGCCAAGGGACUCAAACAUCUGCAACCUGGCUCCGAGCCAAGGAGACAGAUAACGGGCUCCAAAUUCCCAGUCCUGCACGAUGGGCUCAAAACUAAAAUCAUUUAUUAUUUCUAAGAGGAUGAAAAUCAGAAAAAACUGAGUAAUCCAUCUACAAGGAUUUAUAAAUGAACCGAAUGUCCUUGCUAUGUUUGUUGUAUUUAAUAUGUAAAAAGAAGAAGGUCAGUUGUGAUUAGGGGCUUUCUACACAGAGUGCUGACAUUCCAUGUGCAUUAUGCCAGAGGCUGGCCAGACUGCACCGGUGCUGAGGGUGAGAGGAAGCUCUCAUGGGGCCCUUUCUGCCUCCUGCCAUAGGCCUGAUCACACCCUGAGCUGAUCCAAGUGCAAUCAGUUUUUGCUGUUUGGAAGCCCUGGUGCCCUUCCUCCUCCAGAGCUCCCCUGGCAGGACACACUGCCCCUGUCCACCCUGAUGCUCAGGCCAAAGCCCCUGUCCACCCUUGAUGCCUCGCCUUCCUCCACGUGCCCAUCUGGUGCACCAGCGAACUCUCGGCUCUCCCAAGUACCUCUGAAAUCCUGCCUCUCCCACCUGCCCUGCUGCCUCAUUAGCUCCAAACCCCACCUGCCCCCCAGGACUGCUGCCUGAGCUGCCUGCAGGCUGUUCUCCACAGCAGAGGGACUGGUCUUCAUAAGGAUCUUCGGUGGCUCACUCCUCCCACCUCAACCCACGCUCAGGCCUCUGCUGAAGUCCUCCUGAGGGAGAGGAGGCCUGUUUGAACACCUUCUCCAAAAUAGCACCCCCACCAUGCCCCCCUUGCCUGGCUCUAUUUUUAUCCCCAGCUCUUUUCUUUGAAGUACACAUACUUGGGUUUUUAGUUCAUGAUCUCUGUCCCACAACUAGAACGCAGUUCCACMAGGGCAAGUUCCCUCUCCAGUGAGCUGCGCGCUCGUGGCCUGCACCAGCACUGACGAUGCUGCUCUGCUUGCCGGUCGUGUGAGUGCAAGAGCUAUUUGGGGCAUGAGUCAAUGAACAGGGUACUUCCAUCCCCAAGGGGAAUUACAGGGUGAGUCUAAGAGAACAGAGCCUAAUAAGAUACGCUCCUUGUGGGCUGUGGCGGUGGCUCAGCGGUAGAGCRCUUGCUUAGCACGCACACGAGGCCCUGUGUUAGAUCCUCAGUAGCACAUAAAAGUAAAUAAAUAAAAAUAAAGGUAUUGUGUCCAUCUACAACUAAAAAAUAAAUAUAUAUAAAAAAGAUAUGCUCCUUGRUGACCAAGCAAACACAGCAAAACUGGUUUGUAGAACCCCCCAUGGGUUACUUCUGUGAAAUUAAAGAUGUGCACUAAGCACAUUGACAUCACGUACCCAUCAGUCCCUGGUGGGAUCCAUCCCAGGCUCCCUAGUUUUUCUCCAUCCAUAGUUGGAAUGGCAACCAGGAUGCAUUUCUUCAAGACUUUGAAAAGAAGUGACACAAAUACAAAGGUCUUGAGGGAUAUCUGGAGAUUUGGGGGAUGCCUACGAUGGGUUGAAUUGUAUUCCUCCCAAAGACCUGAGCCCUGUAUCUGUGAACGUGACCUUAUGUGGAAACAGGGUCCUUGCAGAUGUCACUGAGUUGAGAUCAGUCUGGAUCAGGGUUAGCUCUACAUUCAGUGACCAAUAUUCUUCUCAGGAGAGGGAAAUAUGGACCCAGAUCCAUGAAUACACACAGGACGAGCACUGUAAGCUUGGAGAGAUGCAUCUGUAAGCCAAGGUACACCAAGGGUGGCCGGGACCCAGGAGAGAGGUUUGGAGCAGAUUCUCCCUCUGGACUCCUGUGGGAACCAACCCUGCAGACUUCUAGGCUCCAGACCUGGAGAAGAAUCCAUUUCUCAUGUUUCAGCCACGUGCUCUGGGGUGCUUUGCUACAGCAUCCCUAGGAAACCACCAGGGCUGCAUUCCAGGGGCAGCUCAGUACUUUGACCAGAGCGACAGUCGUACACCAUGGGAACUGUCAAGCAGGGAACUGAAAGAUCACGUGAUGGGAGAGGACUCCAUCUGCCAGGACAUGGAGUUGUCUGGGAUGUCCUGUGGCUGUGGGAUAAACCACUGUGCUCCCAGACAGAGUGGCAAAUCCAUCUGUCCUGCAUUCCUCACAAAACAGAAUGGGUCGAAGGCCUGUGCGUUUGAUGUGGCACGGAGACAGUGACUUUGGUAAGUCCCUCUGUGUGAUGGCUGUGGCUGCUCUCAGGGCCUGCAGGCCUGUGCUUUUCUCUGGAAACUUGUUGGAGUCCAGGGGGUCUCAGGAGAUGAACGGAUGGUGAGGAGUCACUGAAUGGCGGCGGAGAAACAACAGAGACACAAGAGGGAAGGUGUUGCAUCUGAUUCUUUACUUGUGAAGUUAAUCAUAUAUACUUUUCAUUUUGGGAGGCUCACAGUAUUUUGUGGUUACAAAACAGGAAUCAUUAUUCAAAGAAACAAAAUUUUACGCAGCUACAAUUAGAUAAGACGAAUGUCUCUUGGCUUAUGCAUAAGCAAGCAUUUUUACUUUCAGUUCGCAUUUUGCUUUGAGCUGUUUCUGCUUAGUUAGCUUUUAAUAAUAGUUAGAAAUGUCCCAGACUAUUGGCCUAUACCUUGAUUAUUCUUUCUUGACUUWCUGACUAGAACCGGCGCCCUGGUUAUGGCAAGUGGUUAACUUGAAA